This 706-nucleotide long non-coding RNA is filed under the name Elaeis guineensis (African oil palm). Its description in RNAcentral is "long non-coding RNA (EGUI_LNC066908)". Lineage: Eukaryota; Viridiplantae; Streptophyta; Magnoliopsida; Arecales; Arecaceae. The record is from RNAcentral.
CAGACCCAUUCACUAUAAUAUCAGCUUAAUAGCUGAAGUACAAAUAGCAUGUAACAGAAAGUUAAAGAGGUCAAACAAUGAACGAAUGUUUUUUCUCCUAAAUUUUCCUCCUCUUCAUCUCAGAUCUACUCCCAGACCCCUCCUCCUCCUCUCUAAAUUCUUCUCCUUUUCUCCCUAUUUCCCUCUUAGAUUUACUAGAAAUCCCUCUUCAACCCUUACUCUUCAUUUUCUGUACCUGGAUCUACAUAGAUCUAGAAACAUUCGGCCAAGAAGACUUAUCUCAGAGCAUUGGGACAUUACAACUUGGUAUUAGAGUAGUGGAAUUCUUGGAUCUGAGGGCGGGGACACUACUCUCACUUGGAUCUAUCUAGUUCAGUAGAUCAGCAUCAGGUAUUCAAUAGAUCUCUGAAUUUCAUACCAAGUAAACAGUAAUAGCAUAGAUCUGAAUAGCAGUAGCUUAGAUCUGAAUAGAAAUAGCAUAGAUUUAAUCUGUAUCAAGAUCUGGGAGUGAUUACUACUCCAAAACUUAAGAACAGCAAUUAGGGCUCAAGAUCAUCAUCGGCCAUCUUGGAUGUAAAUUUUCAGUAGCUAGAAAAGUAAAGUAGUAGUAUAAAAUCUGCUCAAAAUAGCUCAAAUGAAUUCAAAAUAGGGAUGAAAAAAUAUAGAAAUAGAACUAAAUAUCAAAACUAAUUCUUCUAGAAAGAAG